RNAcentral lists this ribosomal RNA (323 nucleotides) under uncultured eukaryote. RNAcentral describes it as "partial 18S ribosomal RNA". It matches the Rfam family "Eukaryotic small subunit ribosomal RNA", at positions 1470 to 1796 of the family's 1831-position model. The record is from RNAcentral.
CCCUUAGAUGUUCUGGGCUGCACGCGUGCUACACUGAUAUUGCCAAUAUGUCAUUCUUAUCCGAAAUGGAUUGGGUAGUCAAGUAAUGAAAUUUCAUGCUUGGAAUCGGUAAUUGCAAUUUUAUCGUGAACGAGGAAUUCCUAGUAAGCACUAGUCAUCAGCUAAUGUUGAUUAUGUCCCUGCCCUUUGUACACACCGCCCGUCGCUACUACUGAUUGGGUGUUCAAGUGAGAUGCUUAGACCCUUGUUGCAUGGUUCAUUAUUGUGCUCCGAAAGGAAAAAGUUUCAAGCUUGAGUGUCUAGAGGAAGUAAAAGUCGUAACG